AGUGAACGCUGGCGGUAGGCCUAACACAUGCAAGUCGAACGGCAGCACAGUAAGAGCUUGCUCUUACGGGUGGCGAGUGGCGGACGGGUGAGGAAUACAUCGGAAUCUACUUUUUCGUGGGGGAUAACGUAGGGAAACUUACGCUAAUACCGCAUACGACCUACGGGUGAAAGCAGGGGAUCUUCGGACCUUGCGCGAUUGAAUGAGCCGAUGUCGGAUUAGCUAGUUGGCGGGGUAAAGGCCCAACAAGGCGACGAUCCGUAGCUGGUCUGAGAGGAUGAUCAGCCACACUGGAACUGAGACACGGUCCAGACUCCUACGGGAGGCAGCAGUAGGGAAUAUUGGACAAUGGGCGCAAGCCUGAUCCAGCCAUACCGCGUGGGUGAAGAAGGCCUUCGGGUUGUAAAGCCCUUUUGUUAGGAAAGAAAAGCAGCAGGUUAAUACCCCGCUGUUCUGACGGUACCCAAAGAAUAAGCACCGGCUAACUUCGUG
RNAcentral lists this ribosomal RNA (492 nucleotides) under uncultured bacterium. RNAcentral describes it as "partial 16S ribosomal RNA". It matches the Rfam family "Bacterial small subunit ribosomal RNA", at positions 29 to 507 of the family's 1533-position model. The record is from RNAcentral.